RNAcentral lists this long non-coding RNA (288 nucleotides) under Capsella rubella. Its description in RNAcentral is "long non-coding RNA (CRUB_LNC002581)". Lineage: Eukaryota; Viridiplantae; Streptophyta; Magnoliopsida; Brassicales; Brassicaceae. The record is from RNAcentral.
CCUAAUCGAAAACUUAUUGUAUCUCUCAUACCACAUGUUAGUGCAAUUUACAUGAACCCUAAGAUCUUUAAGCAACAUGAUUAAUCACAUGAUAAAACUGUAAAGGAGGGUUAGCGGAGUACCUCCAUUCAUUGUAGCUGAGAUUCUUGAUGAACGGAUUCCUGAAGUCUUGAUCUCUUAGUUAGGUGAUUAGGUUUCUCUCCCCUUGCCUAUAAACUUACUUUAUGUGUUGUGUUUGUGAUUUCUUUUUGGGAUGCCUUUAUGAUGGACUAAAGGCAUAUAUUUAUA